RNAcentral lists this ribosomal RNA (491 nucleotides) under uncultured bacterium. RNAcentral's name for it is "partial 16S ribosomal RNA". It matches the Rfam family "Bacterial small subunit ribosomal RNA", at positions 28 to 507 of the family's 1533-position model. The record is from RNAcentral.
GAUGAACGCUGGCUACAGGCUUAACACAUGCAAGUCGAGGGGAAACGACGGGGAAGCUUGCUUCCCCGGGCGUCGACCGGCGCACGGGUGAGUAACGCGUAUCCAACCUGCCUCUGACUGAGGGAUAACCCGUCGAAAGUCGGCCUAAUACCUCAUGGCAUCGUCUGCGGGCAUCCAACGACGAUUAAAGAUUUCAUCGGUCAGAGAUGGGGAUGCGUCUGAUUAGCUUGUUGGCGGGGUAACGGCCCACCAAGGCGACGAUCAGUAGGGGUUCUGAGAGGAAGGGCCCCCACAGGGGAACUGAGACACGGGCCAAAGUCCUACGGGAGGCAGCAGUGAGGAAUAUUGGUCAAGGGGAGAGAGCCUGAACCAGCCAAGUAGCGUGCAGGAUGACGGCCCUAGGGGUUGUAAACUGCUGUUAUGCGGGGAUAAAGUGAGGGACGUGUCCUUCAUUGCAGGUACCGCAUGAAUAAGGACCGGCUAAUUCCGUG